CUGACAGCACUAGUGACUGAAUUCAUCUAAUUACCCACAGCAUAGGUACAGCACAGAGAGCAGAGAUGCAAGCUUCUUCUCCAUGCUGCCUGCCUGCCAGGCUGAUCCCGAGAGCCUCAGUCUAAGGGUUAAAGAGGGUACUCUGGUUCCCAAGCUCAUUCAAUCCUUUGUUUGU
This 175-nucleotide small RNA is filed under the name Gopherus agassizii (Agassiz's desert tortoise). Its description in RNAcentral is "TUC338 (ENSGAGG00000002394.1)". Lineage: Eukaryota; Metazoa; Chordata; Testudines; Testudinidae. The record is from RNAcentral.